ACGAACGCUGGCGGCGUGCUUAACACAUGCAAGUCGAGCGGUAAGGCCCUUUCGGGGGUACACGAGCGGCGAACGGGUGAGUAACACGUGGGUGACCUGCCCUCAGCUCUGGGAUAAGCCUGGGAAACCGGGUCUAAUACCGGAUAUGACUCCAUGACGCAUGUUGUGGGGUGGAAAGCCUUGUGCGGCUGAGGAUGGGCCCGCGGCCUAUCAGCUUGUUGGUGGGGUGAUGGCCACCAAGGCGACGACGGGUAGCCGGCCUGAGAGGGCGACCGGCCACACUGGGACUGAGACACGGCCCAGACUCCUACGGGAGGCAGCAGUGGGGAAUCUUGCGCAAUGGGCGAAAGCCUGACGCAGCGACGCCGCGUGAGGGAUGACGGCCU
Molecule: ribosomal RNA, 386 nt
Filed under: uncultured bacterium
Lineage: Bacteria
Description: bacterial SSU rRNA
Rfam family: Bacterial small subunit ribosomal RNA
Source: RNAcentral